GCGGGCGUAGCUCAAUGGUAGAGCCACAGCCUUCCAAGCUGAAGAUGAGGGUUCGAUUCCCUUCGCCCGCUCCA
Molecule: transfer RNA, 74 nt
Filed under: Hyphomicrobiales bacterium
Lineage: Bacteria; Pseudomonadati; Pseudomonadota; Alphaproteobacteria; Hyphomicrobiales
Description: tRNA-Gly
Rfam family: tRNA
About the family: Transfer RNA (tRNA) molecules are approximately 80 nucleotides in length. Their secondary structure includes four short double-helical elements and three loops (D, anti-codon, and T loops).
Source: RNAcentral